GCAAUAGAGGUGCGGAAAACAUCAGUAGCAUGUUUCAGACUGCCAAAAGUCAUUGACAGCACGCAAAAGGGUUUUUCGCCGAAAAUGAAUUGCCUUUUGGCGGGCAUUUAUUUGGGCAUGUCUGCGAACAGCGGCAUGACUGUCAUCAAAGUUUGAUGGAGUGCUAUUGU
RNAcentral lists this non-coding RNA (170 nucleotides) under human gut metagenome. Its description in RNAcentral is "Lysine riboswitch". It matches the Rfam family "Lysine riboswitch aptamer". From Rfam's summary of the family: Riboswitches are metabolite binding domains within certain messenger RNAs that serve as precision sensors for their corresponding targets. Allosteric rearrangement of mRNA structure is mediated by ligand binding, and this results in modulation of gene expression. RNAcentral also lists the same sequence under 1 other name. The record is from RNAcentral.